Molecule: ribosomal RNA, 484 nt
Filed under: uncultured bacterium
Lineage: Bacteria
Description: partial 16S ribosomal RNA
Rfam family: Bacterial small subunit ribosomal RNA
Source: RNAcentral
AUUGAACGCUGGCGGCAGGCCUAACACAUGCAAGUCGAGCGGAUGAAGGGAGCUUGCUCCUGGAUUCAGCGGCGGACGGGUGAGUAAUGCCUAGGAAUCUGCCUGGUAGUGGGGGAUAACGUCCGGAAACGGGCGCUAAUACCGCAUACGUCCUGAGGGAGAAAGUGGGGGAUCUUCGGACCUCACGCUAUCAGAUGAGCCUAGGUCGGAUUAGCUAGUUGGUGGGGUAAAGGCCUACCAAGGCGACGAUCCGUAACUGGUCUGAGAGGAUGAUCAGUCACACUGGAACUGAGACACGGUCCAGACUCCUAAGGGAGGCAGCAGUGGGGAAUAUUGGACAAUGGGCGAAAGCCUGAUCCAGCCAUGCCGCGUGUGUGAAGAAGGUCUUCGGAUUGUAAAGCACGUUAAGUUGGGAGGAAGGGCAGUAAGUUAAUACCUUGCUGUUUUGACGUUACCAACAGAAUAAGCACCGGCUAACUUCGUG